Molecule: transfer RNA, 71 nt
Filed under: Pyrenophora tritici-repentis Pt-1C-BFP
Lineage: Eukaryota; Fungi; Ascomycota; Dothideomycetes; Pleosporales; Pleosporaceae
Description: tRNA-Sup (TCA) (tRNA-Sup-TCA-1-1)
Rfam family: tRNA
About the family: Transfer RNA (tRNA) molecules are approximately 80 nucleotides in length. Their secondary structure includes four short double-helical elements and three loops (D, anti-codon, and T loops).
Source: RNAcentral
GGGCCCAUAGUUCAGUGGCAGAAUACUCGCAUUCAAUGCGAGAGACCCGCGUUCGAUCCGCGGUGGGCCCA